UCCCAAUCUCAAGGUAUAGAAUUCAAUUAAAGGUUGAAGAUAGCUCAGGAAUGGCCACAUUCAUUUUAUUUGAUUCAGAAGCAGAAAAAUUACUCAACAUAUCAGCCAAAGACCUUUUGAAUAAAUCUUUAGAGGUUUACAUCAGUGAUACUUCAAAUGAAUGUAGCAACAACUUAUCAAUUGAAGAAGAUGGUGAUUGUACAAAAUUUCAAAAACUUGAUGUUCAAACCAAUGUGCAACUCACAUCAACAUCUGUACUCAAGGAAAACAAAAGGGCAUAUUCAGGGACUACUACAAAGCAACAAAGGAAGAAGAUACAAAAAACACUUUAAAGUUGUCUUUCAAUCUCUAAGAUUUUCUAUGCACAAUUUGGUUU
This is a long non-coding RNA of Quercus lobata, 376 nucleotides long. RefSeq lists it as uncharacterized. Lineage: Eukaryota; Viridiplantae; Streptophyta; Magnoliopsida; Fagales; Fagaceae. The record is from RefSeq and is a predicted model, not a curated record. The transcript is spliced from 3 exons.